GAUGAACGCUGGCGGCGUGCCUAAUACAUGCAAGUCGAGCGAACAGACGAUGAUCUUGCUCCUCUGACGUUAGCGGCGGACGUGUGAGUAACACGUGUAUAACCUACCUAUAAGACUGGUAUAACUUCGGGACACCGGAUCUAACACCGUAUAAUAUAUUGAACCGCAUUGUUCAAUAGUGAGAUACGGUUUUUCUGUCACUUAUAGCUGGAUCCGCGCCGCAUUAGCUAGUUGUUAAGGUAACGGCUUACCAAGGCGACGAUGCGUAGCCGAACUGAGAGGGUGAUAGGCCACACUGGAACUGGAACACGGUCCAGACGACUACGGGAGGCAGCAGUAGGGAAUCUUACGCAAUGGGGGAAAGCAUGACGGAGCAACGCCGAGUGAGUGAUGAAGGUCUUCGGAGCGUAAAACUCGGUUAUUAGGGAAGAACAAAUGUGUAAGUAAAUAUGCACGUCUUGACGGUAACUAAUAAGAAAGCAACGGCUAACUACGUG
This 497-nucleotide ribosomal RNA is filed under the name uncultured bacterium. RNAcentral's name for it is "partial 16S ribosomal RNA". It matches the Rfam family "Bacterial small subunit ribosomal RNA", at positions 28 to 507 of the family's 1533-position model. The record is from RNAcentral.